Phalacrocorax carbo (great cormorant) is the source of this 2622-nucleotide non-coding RNA. The record is from RefSeq and is a predicted model, not a curated record. Lineage: Eukaryota; Metazoa; Chordata; Aves; Suliformes; Phalacrocoracidae.
CUCUCCCCUCCCAUAGCCCUACGUUUGCAUGGGACUGCUUAGCUCAGCGGCCGCAGGGACACCGACAGUGGACUCGGGGGCUGCAAGAAACAGCCAGAAUCUGUUCCGAGCCAGGUCUCAGGGGGCUGGGGGGAGAGAGGAAAAAGUCCUGAACAUGGGAAAACCACCCAACAGGCAGCAGUGGCUGUGCCUGAGCUUCCCUGGCUCAGGCGAGGGCGAGCUUAGCCCCUGGCAAAUUCAGGGCCACCGCAGCUCAGGGGUUGGGCUGGGUGGAUAGUGGCUUGGGAGGUUUUUGCUGUCCCCAGGUGCACGAGCUCAGCCCCCCUGGGCUGAUCUGGGGUCCCCGGUGGUUUGACUGCCCACCCUGGGUGCUGGGGUGUGCUGAGGGCUGCGUGGGAGCUCAGCCCCCGCUGGUGCCCAGGGCUGGGGCGGCCGCAGGAGGGAACUGCACAGCGUUACUGCCUGACUUGGGUUUUUUCGCUGUAUCAUUUUGUCCUCACCGACUUCUUUGCUUUCUACUCUUUUGCCCUCUUUCCCCCCUCUUCUGUUUCCACCCACCCUGGGAUUGUGCUGCUGUUGUUUUAUCUCUGACUGGAGCACGGUUCCUGUGGAAAGCCACUGAUUUAUGAGCAAACGGUUUUCCUAAAGGACGUGGUGUCGCUGAGUUGCCAUUUCUUAUACUUGGCGCUGGCUGCUCCUGUCAUCGCUAAGGUUGCAGACAGAGUAAAAUAUAUUACCCUCCUUGGUCUCGCACGCUCGUAGCUGUGCAAGCCUGUGCUGUCCCCGGGCGGACGGGGCUGAUGGUUCCUCUGCACCGCAGGGGGAACUGGCCAGGAAAGCUUAAAAGAAAAACUCUGCAUAAGUCUGUGAGGUAGGAGAAAGGGCAAAAACGUACACCCAGGGGCAACUCCUCCUUAGACAGACUGACCCAACUCAACAGAAAUGCUGAGUCUGGGGAUGGCAAAGACCAGUGAGGAGCUGUGACCCACUCCCGGCUCCCCCAGCAGCACUGCCGCGGCAAGGGCUUCGCAGCGGCGGGCACAGCUUGCUUGCACCGUGUGCUCUUUUCCCUGCUUUAACCCUAUUCCAGCUAUACAUUGCUCUGUGGAAAACCUGGUCUCCUGCAGCCCGUACACUCUCUUCUCCCUCAAACCGAAGCUGGUAGCCUGCCUGGCUCCAGCUCUCCUCACUUUGCCUUCAUUGCUUCUCUCUGAUCCUUUUAUUUCAGGUGGAGAAGCGAAGCACAGCUUUUUAAACCUCCCUAGGUGCUCCAGGCAGCUGUCUCGUGGUUUUCUACCUGAUUCAAGCUGACUGAAAGUUCAAGUUUUUCAGUACACCCUGGGAUGAAGCCGCAUCUCCCCCUUUUGCUGUAUUUCAAACCUGCAAUCUCGAGGGCUUCCACCUGACUCAUCAGCAAACUAACCUCUGCCGCUCUGCUGAUUCCUGCGGCGAGGAGCGGGGGGGUGGCCGCGGUGUUCACCGAUCGCGCCCUGCCUGCUGACUCGGGAAACUUUCCCUUGCUCACCCCGGGCAGCUGGCCCUGUGACGCCUUUUCUUUUCUGCUUUGCUUCGCUUUUAUGUAGCGAGGGAAGCUCCAGCCGUGCUGAGCUUUCCUCUCACGUUUCUGUUGCUCAGGGGCCCGUGUCUGCAGUAAAGGGUGGGAGUUUUGCCAGAGAAUUUGCUGGAGGCUUUCAUGGCACGGGGAGGAAAAACCUUGGGUGGGUUAUCAUGGAUAGCAAUGUGGAGACCCCAGCCCUUCCUCCCGGGCCCACCCUCCUCCUCGCUGGCUGCCCAGAGGCACGAGAGUGGCAGCAGGGGCAAACCUCUCUGCAGAAGAAAGGCGCUUUGCCUGCUGUGUUCCUGAUAGUGUCGCCCUGCGUCCUGGGUUUCUUUUCCUUUGCACCGAGGCUUGGGCUGGCUUGGCCGGGCAGCGUCGCGGGGCACCUGGCAGAGGUGUACCCCGCAGCAGAAAGGGGUCUUGGCUGCUUCUCACCUUGCAGGCUUUGCAGCCUGCAUGGGCGUAAAGUCAGAGAUGGAAGGGAGGCGAUGAGCAGAUCACAAAGGUUGAGUGAUGAAGGGUCGCCUACUUAAGAAAAUGUUUCAUUUUCUCCACAUAGAAUGGCAUAAAGAGUGUCCCCUUGCACGGGAAAGUCUGUUUAUAACUACCUGAAUCCUAAUGAAUCCUGAGCAGGCGCCCUGCAGUUUUCUGCCCAUGCAUUGCAUCCCGGAGCGUGGCGAGGCGCAGAUCUCGGGCGUUAGCACAGGGACGCACGGCGCUUGGUCUGACGUGGGUAAAACUCACAUUCUGCUCCCACCCGAUGCCUGGCCUGGCGUGCCACGGGCCGUGCUUUCACCUUUGCAGGGUGCAAAGUCUGCUGUGGUUCGCUGUUUGUCAGGGUAAAAGAUAAGGCUGUAAAGAAAACAAACCGAAGCAGCCCUCCUUUCCUAGUUGGUAAAGUGAUAAUCGGAGAGAUCUCACCCUGCUAUUACUGAUCCACUUCAGCAGCUUUCCGCACGGGUCUUCCUCACUUUCCUCCCCCUUCAUCAUCGCCAUGCUCCUGGCCAGCCUCAACAGCUGCUGCAACCCCUGGAUCUACAUGCUGUACACGGGGCACCUCUUCC